Acipenser ruthenus (sterlet) is the source of this 580-nucleotide long non-coding RNA. RefSeq lists it as uncharacterized. Lineage: Eukaryota; Metazoa; Chordata; Actinopteri; Acipenseriformes; Acipenseridae. The record is from RefSeq and is a predicted model, not a curated record. The transcript is spliced from 3 exons.
UUUGAAGACUUGGCCCCAAAGCUUUUAACAUCCACAUUACACAUCGUUGGAUUGUGCUUGUACCUUCUGAAAACGGGAGUGCAUUUCAACCUCCUCAUAAAAACGUCUUAUUCUGAAUCCUGAGGUUAUCGGGAAGAACAUGAAACAGACCUUGAAGAGUAGGAGGCAGCCCUUGGGACCUGAGAUGUAGGACUACUGCAGUUUCUUAUUAAAUCGCAUCCCUGCCAGACAGCAGCCUUUCAUGCCAACACACCAGUUUCCUGACCACAACAAACAUUGUGACACUGAAAUCCUCAGAAAGACGGCUUAGGUUAAGAGCUUGGAUCUGGCUUUACUUGAAAGGGAAGAAAAAAGGUGAUGAAUUACAGAACAAAUUAAUAUCCAAGAACUGCAGAGAUUUUACUUACAAACAAUGCAUUGUCAGCAACAAUUAAAUCAGAGCUCCAAUUUGAAGAUAAAGAAUGUUUCACAUUUUCUAAAGUGUAUCAAUAUGGCUCUCGAGCAGGGGUGGGCAAAGCAGGGUAUUCCACGCCAGAUUUUGGUUUCAACCUCGUUCUGAAUUGUUUAAUAAAACCUCCAA